This 61-nucleotide transfer RNA is filed under the name Grandidierella rubroantennata. RNAcentral describes it as "tRNA-His". The record is from RNAcentral. Lineage: Eukaryota; Metazoa; Arthropoda; Malacostraca; Amphipoda; Corophiidae.
GCUUUUUUAGUUUAUAAAAAAUAUUAUUUUGUGGAAAUAAAGAAGAUAAAUUCAAAUGGCA